CGUGGACACUUAUUAGCUACAGCCACCUUGAGUGCAGCCACAGAAAAAAAAACCGGAUUAAUAAGAUCUUAAAGCACUUAUAUAUCUAGUUACAACGGCACUGCAGAAAUUUUCAUUUGCUCAUCUGCUCAGUGUGACCGCUUAUGAUUAAACAAAUACCGUCCGACCCUCAGAAACAUACCGAAACAAACCAACUCAUUUUCAAAAUACAUCGUAAAUAUACCGAUUGAAAGCCCUUAACCCAGUUAAGCCUCCACUUUUUAAAAGGGCAAAAAACUUCAGUUAAACAGCGGAUAUUAAAACUGUUUAUAGAUACUUCUUGUAUAUGCAUUCUUUUUCUUAGCUUAAAAAAGAAAUGACUACGAUAUCUUUCACCAUAAUUGCGUUAAAACUCUUCAAGUUUCAUUAUUAUCGUGGAGUGCAUUUUAUAUCCACUGGUAGACAAUGGACAAUCGUUUUCCAUGACCGGAAAUCAUAUUCCUCAUAUUUUCAUAUAUAUUUUUAAUAUUACUAGCGAGCUAGCACCCACGAGCAAUGAACACAUAAUUUUUUUAGAUGAAUCAAUAAAAGAAGUUUUAAGUUUUUUUAGAUGAA
Molecule: long non-coding RNA, 594 nt
Organism: Drosophila miranda
Lineage: Eukaryota; Metazoa; Arthropoda; Insecta; Diptera; Drosophilidae
Exons: 2
Source: RefSeq, a predicted model, not a curated record